Gossypium raimondii (Peruvian cotton) is the source of this 145-nucleotide non-coding RNA. The record is from Rfam. Lineage: Eukaryota; Viridiplantae; Streptophyta; Magnoliopsida; Malvales; Malvaceae.
UGUUAAAAAUUUAAUCCAUUUUUACUAUUAAAAAUUAGCAUGGUUAACGAAAUAACCUGACAAUGAUACAUGGCUGGGUAUGUGUAACUCAUACUGACGUAUAGGGACCAGUUUUUAACAGUAGAAGUGGAUGGAAAUUUUAAAA